RNAcentral lists this transfer-messenger RNA (179 nucleotides) under Atribacterota bacterium. RNAcentral describes it as "partial transfer-messenger RNA". It matches the Rfam family "transfer-messenger RNA", at positions 1 to 193 of the family's 374-position model. Rfam says of the family: Bacterial tmRNA, also known as 10Sa RNA or SsrA, is named for its dual tRNA and mRNA-like properties. Lineage: Bacteria; Pseudomonadati; Atribacterota. The record is from RNAcentral.
GGGGGCGAUAGGUUUCGACAGGGAUAAGAGAGGUAAGAACAGCGAGUCGAGGUUCCAUGUCCUCGUAAUACCGUGGAAAAUCAUUAAUUGCUAACGAUAAACAAUUAGCAUUUGCAGCCUAAUUAGGCUGCACGUCUGUACUGGUCUUGUGUCUACGAGACUUUUACGGGUGUAACCUA